AGCCAGAACGAGGGGGGCCUCUUCGAGACCCUACCUAUCGAGGACUUGUUUUUACCCCUGAAAUAUUUGGUACCACAAGGCCUGUUUUCUUAAAGGAAUCUGCCUUCAAACGCGUUCCACAAAAAAACAAGUAGGACCCUAUUGCAAGUGCAAGAUUUAAGGGCAUUAAUGUCAAAUCAUGUCGGGAUGCUCCCAGGCUAUAAAUAGCCGCCUCCCAC
This 218-nucleotide long non-coding RNA is filed under the name Hordeum vulgare. RNAcentral describes it as "long non-coding RNA (HVUL_LNC016494)". The record is from RNAcentral. Lineage: Eukaryota; Viridiplantae; Streptophyta; Magnoliopsida; Poales; Poaceae.